CGACAAGGGUUGAAUCUCAGUGGAUCGUGGCAGCAAGGCCACUCUGCCACUUACAAUACCCCGUCGCGUAUUUAAGUCGUCUGCAAAGGAUUCUACCCGCCGCCCAGUGGGGAAUAGCGCUUCAAGGCGUCCCGCGAGGCUCGUCCACCCCGCGGGGGUCACCAACGGCACGUGCCUCUGGGGGGCCGAGGCCCCCUACUGCUGGUCGGCAAACGGGCGACGGGCACACGCAUCGCUUCUAGCCCGGAUUCUGACUUAGAGGCGUUCAGUCAUAAUCCAACGCACGGUAGCUUCGCGCCACUGGCUUUUCAACCAAGCGCGAUGACCAAUUGUGCUACGGGUCUAAUUCAUCUACCACUCGAAUAAGGGACUGCGUGUCCAUCGUGGAUUUUCGUUGCACCAAUUCGACUAAUCGCACACACGAGUUGCUAACCCUCGUUGGUUGUACGAACUAGACCUCAAAAAGAUGGAGGCUCCGCAACACUUGAAGCCUCGGCACGUCCGACCAAUGCUCGCAACUACCGAACUCGGCACUGUGUGACGAAGCCGGCACCUCGACAACAGGGACUCACGCAUCAAGAAAUACGAGUUGGUCUGCGAGGAACUGUCGAAGCCCUUGAUGCAUCCCCGAUAAGUCCUACGUGCCCAGACAACACCAAGCCAAAGCACCAGCCUGCACCUGGCUGCGUGCGACCAGGAUUCGGCAUGGAAGACGACUCGAUCGAAUUGCCCACAACGCCAUAGAAAAAUGCACCAGCGUGCAUGGGACAGCUUGCUGGGGCGCUGGGGGGAGCCCCAUGGCAUGCCAUCCUGACCCACCAAGGUGCAUGGGAAGGCAGGCAGCUUCCCCCCUAUAGUAGGCUAAUAUGGAAAAACCCACUCUGCACCACCGGACAUCCUUUUCUCUAGGGAGACAUACUGGGUUUUCUUUAGGCUAGAGAUCGAAUUUUGCCCUGAUAUUUUGGACACGUGCUUAUAAAAAUGGGAGCAGGUGGUCCGCGAAGUUUCACGAUUUUUCUCCUAGCCGAUAAUUUUUCGUGAUUUUUCUAAGCGGCGAGCAUUACAUAAUUCCCGAAAAUUAGAAAAUGAGUGUGUACCAUGUUUUUUGAGCUGUUCUUUUGCAGGAGUGCUUGUAAUAUCAUUCCUCAACAUUUCCCAAAGUUACGCCCAUGUAACAUCGAGGCAUCUCCCUCAAACGAUUUUCCACCAAAGUGCGGCACACGCCCUGGUGCCAUGACGGGCAACAUCGCCUAGGAGUUGAAUUCCGACUUGAGACUUUGCAGGCAACCAUGGCUAAACAAUUACGGGUUCCCCUCCAAAUAUGGAGGCAUUUCAUGAAGGGGCCGGCGUCUUACGAUGCUUUCACCGGAAUAGGGAAUGCGAGAUGAGCAAGAAUCCCACGCGAGGCACGGGUCAUGGCAUGGGUCACUUUCACCGAGCACUCGGACCAUGUGCCAUGGCAUGGGUCACCUUCACCUAGCACUCGGAACUUGUGCCACGGAAUGGGUCACUUUCACCUAGCACUCGGGACGUGUGCCACGGAACGGGUCACUUUCACCUAGCACUCGGAAAGUGUGUAAUGGCCUCAAUUUCACCUAGUAGCACUCGGACACAUGUGUCAUGGCCUCUCUUUCACCUUGCACUCAGGAUCACGUACGAGGAAUCACACCAUGCACAAAGCACCCCAACCACCAGACACCAUGAACAACACACAAGGCACCAUGGGGCAUGGCUAGAGGCGAUGCUGCACUCCACAUUGUAAGUGACUUUGUCUCUACCGUGUGCUUGCGGAACGCGGACUUUGCACCUACUCGCCCGUACGAGGUGCGGGUUCGUAACCCCCGUAGGGUGUACGACCUAGCUCGGAAGAAGGUUUGAGAUGGGAGGGACGAAUCGAAGCGACAAGGGCUGAAUCUCAGUGGAUCGUGGCAGCAAGGCCACUCUGCCACUUAUUCUGCCACUUACAAUACCUCGUCGCAUAUUUAAGUCGUCUGCAAAGGAUUCUACUCGCUGCCCAGUGGGAAAUAGCGCUUCAAGGCGUCCCGUGAGGCUCGUCCACCCCGCGUGGGUCACCAACGGCACGUGCCUCUGGGGGCCGAGGCCCCCUACUGCUGGUCGGCAAACAGGCGACGGGCACACGCAUCGCUUCUAGCUCGGAUUUUGACUUAGAGGCGUUCAGUCAGAAUCCAACGCACGGUAACUUCGUGCCACUGGCUUUUCAACCAAGCGCGAUGACCAAUUGUGCGAAUAAACGGUUCCUCUCGUACUAGGUUGAAUUACUAUUGCGACACUGUCAUCAGUAGGGUAAAACUAACCUGUCUCAUGACGGUCUA
RNAcentral lists this long non-coding RNA (2333 nucleotides) under Lupinus angustifolius (narrow-leaved blue lupine). RNAcentral's name for it is "long non-coding RNA (LANG_LNC002902)". Lineage: Eukaryota; Viridiplantae; Streptophyta; Magnoliopsida; Fabales; Fabaceae. The record is from RNAcentral.